AGCGAACGCUAGCGGCGAGCUUAACACAUGCAAGUCGAGCGGAGGGUUUCGGCCCUCAGCGGCGGACGGGUGAGUAACACGUAGGUUACGUGCCCUUUGGUGGGGAAUAACUUAGGGAAACCUGAGCUAAUACCGCAUAUGCCCUUCGGGUGAAAGUCUUCGGACGCCAGAGGAUCGGCCUGCGGCCCAUUAUUUAAUCCUUGUUGGUGGGGUAACGGCCUACCAAGGGUACGAUGGGUAGCUGGUCUGAGAGGAUGAUCAGCCACACUGGGACUGAGACACGGCCCAGACUCCUACGGGAGGCAGCAGUGGGGAAUAUUGGACGAAUGGGGGAAACCCUGAUCCAGCUACGCCGCGUGGGUGAUGAAGG
Molecule: ribosomal RNA, 370 nt
Filed under: uncultured bacterium
Lineage: Bacteria
Description: bacterial SSU rRNA
Rfam family: Bacterial small subunit ribosomal RNA
Source: RNAcentral